UGCCCGUUCUUCUUCCCUGUGUCAUGUACUCUACCAGUUUUUAGAUUUAAAGUUUUCUAUUGUACCAAAAAAAGAUUUCAAGUUUUUUUCAUAUUUUCUCCAAUCUUAGGUAUGCAGAUGAUAUAGCUCUUUUAAUCGAAUCAAGUUCUAAAUAUAAUAGGAUAAAGAUAUGCAACUAAUUCUAAAUAAUGGUAAAACCAAAGAAAACAGAGGUGGAAGUAGACA
RNAcentral lists this long non-coding RNA (225 nucleotides) under Elaeis guineensis (African oil palm). RNAcentral's name for it is "long non-coding RNA (EGUI_LNC047818)". The record is from RNAcentral. Lineage: Eukaryota; Viridiplantae; Streptophyta; Magnoliopsida; Arecales; Arecaceae.